RNAcentral lists this long non-coding RNA (224 nucleotides) under Panax ginseng (ginseng). Its description in RNAcentral is "long non-coding RNA (PGIN_LNC011836)". Lineage: Eukaryota; Viridiplantae; Streptophyta; Magnoliopsida; Apiales; Araliaceae. The record is from RNAcentral.
UCCGCCACAGGUAACCCUAACUUCUCUUUAUUUCUAAAUUGGAUAUUGAUUGGAUAUUACCAAGCACAAGUGUUCUCCUUCUAUUUUUUUAAUCUAUUUCUUCUCCCUCUUGAUAACUGAAUUUCUGCACCCCAAAUUUCUAUCAAAACUUCUCUUCUUUGUCGUCUAAUCUAGCAAAUUGAGCAAGAUAGUUUAAAUAUAAACUGACACAUGUUAAAUUUGGA